This 4858-nucleotide long non-coding RNA is filed under the name Sus scrofa (pig). RNAcentral describes it as "lncRNA (ENSSSCG00000052608.1)". The record is from RNAcentral. Lineage: Eukaryota; Metazoa; Chordata; Mammalia; Artiodactyla; Suidae.
AUGCCAGAUUCUUCACCUGCUGAGCCACCAGGGCACUCUGAAACACAAUAGAUUUUAAAUUAUUUUAAUAACACUUUCUUCACUCUCUUUCUGAUUCUCUCGCCUUUGUUUUGCAUCAUCCCAGUGGUUUUCUCCCUCAAUCUGAAGAAAAACCAGGACAGCCUGACCCUGGCUCACUGUAGCUAUUGGAGAUUUUCCUACUCCAUUGUACCUACUAUCUUACCAAGACUCUGCAGAAGUAGAGUGAAACCUUCAAAUUUCGCCCCAAGACUGGUCAGAUGUUUUUUUUACUCAUCCUUCCUUUGUGUCAAUUUUCUUUAUCUAAGAAACCAAGUCAUUCUCUCUACACCCCCUCAUUAUCAGUCUUGAGGCGGUCCUUUCGCCAGGUAGGGUAUAGGUAGACAGUACUGCUUUCUCUGUUGGGCACCGGAUGCCACAAGCCACUUUUCAUCCCCAUCCACUGCUCAGGCACCUGCUGAAGGAUGAACGACAGAUUCCAGCACGUGAGCAGAGCCAAAGGAGGAGUUCCACAGCUCCAGGGAAAGUUCUGGCUGCUUCUUACUGACUCUCAAGUUUUUCAAAAUGAUGAAGUGGGUUAAAAAAAAAAAAGUCUCGAGAGAAAAAUUAAAACUCCAACCUUUAAUGAAUAGAAAACAAAAAGUCUCAACAUUGCUUUCUCUGGCAUUAGUGAUUUUGGAACAAAUCCUAUUCUACAGACAACAUUUUUUAAAAAUUGAACAAGAGUGUCUAAUUGCCACUGAUUUCAUGAAGAGCUAAAAAAAAUUCAUCAUCAGAUGUAAGGCAAAAGCACGUAAAAUAGAAUCUUGGUAAAAUCAAAACACAAUAACUUAAAGAUUCUCAGAAAACACGAAUUGUUUAUAUUCCUAACUUUCUAUUUCUGUAAUGAUGUCUGUAUAUAUACCUAAUUCAUUGUUACCUUAUUUUAAACCUUUUUCUCCCGAGUGAUGUGCGUUUUUACUUUUUUAUCUCAAGUGUUAAUAUAGAUUCUUUUUUUCUCGGUUAGACAAUUCUCAAAGAGCUGAGAAUUGAAGCUUGAAAUCUAUGCAUCAUUAGUAAUUUCACAUCCCAUAAAAUUGUUCUUUCCUCCAAUAAAUGGUUCAGCACCUUUUAAUUGUAGGAAGGUUGCUAAAAGUGCCCAAUAAAAUCAGAGUUUUCUGGAGGAGACAGGAAGGCAGGUUAUCUGCUGUGGAUAAACAGUUACCUGGCAAUAACCUGGUGGGAGAACCAGGCUACAAUAACGCAUUACAAAGAAAAAAGUGUCCUGGUUGAUAUGGAAAAAUGGCAAACCAUGAAUCUUAGGGCACCUGUGCUUUCCCCUGCGCAUGAAGUAACCAUAGAUUAGUCACCAACCUGCCAUAUGCUUGCAGAACCUGUGUGUAAUUAACCAGCAUGGCAGGUUUAGGCAGCGGUUGUAUAAAGAGGGUGAGUUUCAGAGGCAGAAACAGGUGCGUCCCUGUACACAGUAUGAUUCAUUCUCUGUGCCUUAAUCUCUCUCUUCUCCAGGGAACACUCUCCUUGCACGGACUGGCCUGGGAAAUAGAUCUGUACAUGCUUUUUAAGAAAAAAUUUUAUUGAAGUAUAGUGGAUUUACAAUGCUGUGUUAGUUUCAGGUGUAAGCAAAUGAUUCAGUUACACACACAUAUAUUCUUGUUCAGAUUCUCUUCCGUAUAAGUUAUUACAAGAUACUGAGUAGAAUUCCCUGUGCUAUACAGUAGGUUCUUCUUGGUUACUUUCUUUUUCUUUUUUGGUCUUUUUGUCUUUUUAGGGCCACACCUGCAGCAUAUGGAGGUUCCCAGGCUAGAGGUCCAAUCAGAGCUGUAGCUGCCAGCCUACGCCACAGUCACAGCAAUGCCAGAUCUGAGCCGCGUCUUCGACCUACAUCACAGCUCAUGCAAAGCCAGAUCCUUAACCCACUGAGUGAGGCCAGGUAUUGAACCUGCUUCCUCAUGGAUGCUAGUCGGAUUCAUUAACUGCUGAGCCACGACGGGGACUCCUAGGUUACCUAUUUUAUACACAAUAGUGUGUAUCUGUUAAUCCCCAAAUCCUAAUUUAUCCCUCCCCCCAAGAGACUUUUUUUUCUCUUUUCUCAAGUUUUUUUUUUAAGUAUAGUUGAUUUAUAAUGUUGUGAUGAUUUCUGCUGUACAACAAAGUGAUUCAGUUAUACCUAUACACACAUCCAUUCUCUUUCAGAUUCUUUUCGCAUAUAGAUUGUUACAGAAUAUGGGGGAAAGUUGCCUGUGUUACACAGCAGCUUCCCAUUGCCAGGCAGUCCAUAUACCUCAGUGUGCAUAUGUCAAUCCCAAACCCCUUGUCUAUCUCUCCCUGCCUCUACCUGUCUCCUUUGGUGACCACAAGUUUGUUUUCAAAGUCUGUAUGUUUCUGUUCUGCAAAUAAGUUCCCUAUGAUUCUUUUUUUUAGAUUCCAUGUGUAAAUGAUAUCAUAUGAGGUUUGUCUUUCACUGUCUAACUUACUUGGCACGAUCAUCUCUAGAUCCACCCAUGUUGCUGCAAAUGGCAUUAUUUCAUCCUUUUUUAUGGCCGAGUAAUAUUCCAUGGUGUUCUAUGUGCCUUUAUGUUGGGAAUAAUGGAGAUAAUGCAAUCUCCUGUCUCAGGCCAGACCAUCAGGCUUUGAGAAUGUUCCCAAAAGCUUACAUCAGGGAAACUGUACUUCUCCGACAAUUUGUUGAGGUGUUUUGCACUAACUGAACGAGGAUUCUUAUUGAUAUUGACUUUUUUCUUUUAAUUUGGAAGAAGGAAUUAAGAGGAACAUUGGGUUUGCAGCUAUGUUUCCCAAUCUAGCCAAAAUAGUCAGAGAGGAAAGUUUGCUUUUGUGGGUUGACAAGCUCAUUACUUGUUCUAGUAAAAGAUGUAUAAGCAGAGAAGCAUAGGUUCAGAGAGAGAGAAUGAGUGUUAAAGCAUCAUCCUUGCCAUUCAGGUGACUAAGGAUAUAGCCGUGUCUAUACCAGAUAACUGGAAAUUUGCCCUUUUUUUAAGGACACAUGGAAGGGAAGAGAUUCUACAGUUUCCCACUUAAAUGUUUUAAUGCAGAAUCCAAUCCUUCUCAAAAUUGGAAGGUUUUGCCCGCUUUCCUGACCUUGACAUACAGCUGUGUAGAUCCAUUUAUAACAUAAAGAAACGUGUGAGAUAGAGCGACUGAUGGAUACCGACAGAGAUGUCACGUGCUAAGUGUACCUUACUGUCCUCAGUCUUUUUGCCUUAAGGCUAAAUUCUUCUCUCCUUCAGGAAUCUGUCUUUUUUUCCUCCUGAAUACAGGACUAAUGUUUAGAUUUGUCCUUCAAAAUCUUCCAAGCUCUUCUUGUCCUUUUUAAGCCGUGCAGUCUUGAGUCCCUCUCAUCUCUCAAAAUCUGACUACAGAGACCUGACCACGUUACUGGCCAAUAGGAAUGCGAGAAAUCGCGAGAACUCGCCCUCCUUUAAAUUGUUCUGUAGUGACAGGAAGUGAGCUUCCUGUCACAUGGGAUGCCGGUGUCCAUACCCAAAGGCCCUAUUUGCAGCUGGUCUGAGCCUCGCUUUCCUCUUAAAAGCAUUACCACGGUCCUCGGCAUUUUUCAGUUUUCUUUGGGCAAAACCACUGCUUUCGGUGCUUACAUGAGUCAGUGCCUAUAAAGUGCUUCUGAGGCUGGCAGACUCCUGUGGAUCAGAUAUAAAUUCUAUCACAGUUGUCACUGUGCUUGUGUAUAGUUAUCUGUCCAAAUUCUGAUAUGCGGCUUUUAUCCUUCACUGGUUUACUCCUUCAUCAUCAGCCCUCCUUUAUCCCACCCCCACCCCCCACCCCGUACAAUGAAACUCACAAAGUAGUAAUUUAAAUAUAUUAUUUAUAUUAUAUUCCAAGAUGGAUCCAAGUUAGAACCCUUUAGAAUUCCCGUUAAAAUCCUUCUAUUCCUCAUCAGGCACCCAUAUAGUGAUCUGACUUGUGGCUGUAGGUGUUGCUGUCUUAGAUUUUAGAACACCCUCUGCUGUGAGACUAGAGGCAUGGGUUCCAAACGACCAAUAAUUAAUUUUAGAUAGGAGCAUAUUAUUCAUAAAAUAUUAUUCUUGAAAUUAUAGACACUGAAAAGUAGAUAAAAUUCAGGCCGAAUAAUUUAGUUGGUGUUCAAACAAACACUGUACAUUUGUUACAUUUUCUUUGACAAUUUUUCCAGUUUUGGAGAACGUUUCAGAGCUAUUCAUUGUAGGGGACUUAACUACUAAUGUUACUCUUGGUUAUUCAAUCACCUUUGCUUAUAAUCGUGUAUUUUUAAUGUCUUUUAUGCAAGAAGGAACGCUUAAUAUAUCUUUACCCCCCAGUGAGUCUUUGAGACUUUCUUUGUCUUAGGAAUAAAAUAUACUUUUUAAAGACUCGAUUUAUAAUGUUCGGAGAGUUCCAGACAUGAUUUUCCAAGAUAUUUUUAGCUGAUGAGCACCGAUUGUUUUCGGUGUCAUUAACACAAGGUGGGCUGCUUCUGAGGACCUUUGUCACUUCAGUUUGCACGUGGCUCAAGGACUAACACGGUCAGUUACACGGGUGGAGGGAGUGUCUACCGCUGUGAAUAUCACGGCAAGAUCACAGUAAGCCCCACUCUUCAUUUCUAACGGCCGAAUGUGGGCUGUCCUAAGUCCUGUAAGUGCAACUCCCAUGUAUACAGCCUGGGAGAAUCUGACAGAGCAGCAGCAUUUCUUGCAAAUGGCUCAGAACUGCACGGGGCAUUCUUAUUAAAGAUACAUGAACUCAGAGGUUUUUUUUCCCUACUACGUCGAAACUGGCAGUGCUAAUUAUGAAGUGACAAUUAGAAACAGAACUAGCUUGUACUCUUGCUGUUAACUGCUCAUCCUAAGUC